Molecule: small RNA, 115 nt
Filed under: Streptococcus pyogenes
Lineage: Bacteria; Bacillati; Bacillota; Bacilli; Lactobacillales; Streptococcaceae
Description: RNA (115-MER) from Streptococcus pyogenes (PDB 7V59, chain G)
Rfam family: Trans-activating crRNA (bases 21-115)
About the family: RNA-guided Streptococcus pyogenes Cas9 (SpCas9) is a sequence-specific DNA endonuclease, the Trans-activating CRISPR RNA form an hybrid with the crRNA (crRNA/tracrRNA). The RNA hybrid acts as a guide for the endonuclease Cas9.
Source: RNAcentral
GCGCAUAAAGAUGAGACGCGUUUUAGAGCUAUGCUGUUUUGAAAAAAACAGCAUAGCAAGUUAAAAUAAGGCUAGUCCGUUAUCAACUUGAAAAAGUGGCACCGAGUCGGUGCUU